Molecule: unclassified non-coding RNA, 520 nt
Filed under: uncultured Entrophospora
Lineage: Eukaryota; Fungi; Glomeromycota; Glomeromycetes; Entrophosporales; Entrophosporaceae
Description: SSU rRNA
Rfam family: Eukaryotic small subunit ribosomal RNA
Source: RNAcentral
AGCAGCCGCGGUAAUUCCAGCUCCAAUAGUGUAUAUUAAAGUUGUUGCAGUUAAAAAGCUCGUAGUUGAAUUUCGGGAUUGGCGCAUCGGUCGUGCCUUACGGGGUAUGAACUGGUGCAGUCAAUUUCUCACCUUCUGGAGAACCGCGAUGUCCUUAAUUGGGUGCCGCGGGGAACCAGGACCUUUACUUUGAAAAAAUUAGAGUGUUUAAAGCAGGCAUUUUUGCUUGAAUACAUUAGCAUGGAAUAAUAAAAUAGGACGGCAUGGUUCUAUUUUGUUGGUUUCUAGGACCACCGUAAUGAUUAAUAGGGAUAGUUGGGGGCAUUAGUAUUCAAUUGUCAGAGGUGAAAUUCUUGGAUUUAUUGAAGACUAACUACUGCGAAAGCAUUUGCCAAGGAUGUUUUCAUUAAUCAAGAACGAAAGUUAGGGGAUCGAAGACGAUCAGAUACCGUCGUAGUCUUAACCAUAAACUAUGCCGACUAGGAAUCAGACGAUGUUAAUUUUUUAAUGACUCGUUUGG